RNAcentral lists this ribosomal RNA (406 nucleotides) under uncultured bacterium. Its description in RNAcentral is "partial 16S ribosomal RNA". It matches the Rfam family "Bacterial small subunit ribosomal RNA", at positions 29 to 526 of the family's 1533-position model. The record is from RNAcentral.
AUUGAACGCUGGCGGCAGGCCUAACACAUGCAAGUCGAACGAGUGGCGGACGGGUGAGUAAUGUCUGGGAAACUGCCUGAUGGAGGGGGAUAACUACUGGAAACGGUAGCUAAUACCGCAUACCAUCAGAUGUGCCCAGACGGGAUUAGCUAGUUGGGGGGGUAACGGCUCACCAAGGCGACGAUCCCUAGCCGGUCUGAGAGGAUGACCAGCCACACUGGAACUGAGACACGUGCCAGAUGCCUACGGGAGGCAGCAGGGGGGAAUAUUGCACAAUGGGCGAAAGCCUGAUAGAGCAAGGCCGCGUGAAUGAAGAAGGCCUUCGGAUUGUAAAGUACUGUCAGCGGAGAAGCGGUACCCGCAGAAAAAGCAAGGGCUAACUCCGUGCCAGCAGCCGCGGUAAUAC